This 500-nucleotide ribosomal RNA is filed under the name uncultured bacterium. Its description in RNAcentral is "bacterial SSU rRNA". It matches the Rfam family "Bacterial small subunit ribosomal RNA", at positions 377 to 894 of the family's 1533-position model. The record is from RNAcentral.
GCAACCCUGACGGAGCGACGCCGCGUGUGGGAAGAAGGCCUUCGGGUCGUAAACCACUGUCGAAGGGGACGAUAUUGACGGUACCCUUGGAGGAAGCCCCGGCUAACUACGUGCCAGCAGCCGCGGUAAGACGUAGGGGGCAAGCGUUGUCCGGAAUCAUUGGGCGUAAAGCGCUCGUAGGCGGAUCAACAAGUCUGUGAAGAAAGACCCGGGCUCAACUCGGGGAACGGCAUGGAUACUGUUGGUCUUGAGGUAAUCAGAGGAUGAUGGAAUUCCCGGUGUUGCGGUGAAAUGCGUAGAUAUCGGGAGGAACACCAGUGGCGAAGGCGAUCAUCUGGGGUUAUUCUGACGCUGAGGAGCGAAAGCUAGGGGAGCAAACGGGAUUAGAUACCCCGGUAGUCCUAGCCGUAAACGAUGGACACUAGGUGUAGGUGGUAUCGACUCCAUCUGUGCCGCAGUUAACACAAUAAGGUCCCGCCUGGGGAGAUCGCCCGGAAAUG